Molecule: ribosomal RNA, 205 nt
Filed under: Psathyromyia barrettoi barrettoi
Lineage: Eukaryota; Metazoa; Arthropoda; Insecta; Diptera; Psychodidae
Also listed under: 1 other name
Description: partial large subunit ribosomal RNA
Source: RNAcentral
GAUCUUUAUAUAUUUAUAGUUUUUGUAAAAAUUAGUUGAUUUAUUUUUGAAUAUUAUAUUAUAUUAUAUUGGGGUAAUAAUAAAAUUUUAAAAAUUUUUAUUUAUUAGAUUCAUAAUUAAUUGUUUUUUUGAUCCAGUAUUAUUGAUUAUAAAAUGAAGUUACCUUAGGGAUAACAGCAUAAUGAUUUUUGAGAGUUCUUAUCAA